UCAAUAAGCGGAGGAAAAGAAACUAACAAGGAUUCCCCUAGUAACGGCGAGUGAAGCGGGAAGAGCUCAAAUUUGUAAUCUGGCCGGUCUCCGGUCCGAGUUGUAAUCUGUAGAGCUGUCACUGUGCCAGUCCUCUCAUGAGUCCGUUGGAAUACGGCGUCAAAGAGGGUGAGAACCCCGUUCUUGGUGAGGUCUCUGGUGCUCUGUGUGAUGGUCUCGAAGAGUCGAGUUGUUUGGGAAUGCAGCUCAAAUUGGGAGGUAGAUUCCUUCUAAAGCUAAAUAUUGGCGAGAGACCGAUAGCAAACAAGUACCGUGAGGGAAAGAUGAAAAGCACUUUGGAAAGAGAGUUAACAGUACGUGAAAUUGUUGAAAAGGAAACGAUUGAAGCCAGACGUGCCCAACCGUGUUCAGCCUUUUGGUGUACUCACGGUGGCAGGCUAACAUCGGUUUUGAGGGUCGGAUAAGGGUAGGGGGAAUGUGACAGCCUCGGCUGUGUUAUAGCCCCUUGCUUGAUACGGCUUUUGAGACUGAGGACCGCGGCUCGCCUCAUGGCAGGGGACUCGUCCUCUUCCGAGCCUAGGAUGUUGGCGUAA
RNAcentral lists this ribosomal RNA (593 nucleotides) under Bourdotigloea vestita. RNAcentral describes it as "LSU rRNA". It matches the Rfam family "Eukaryotic large subunit ribosomal RNA", at positions 43 to 634 of the family's 3401-position model. Lineage: Eukaryota; Fungi; Basidiomycota; Atractiellomycetes; Atractiellales; Phleogenaceae. The record is from RNAcentral.